AACGAACGCUGGCGGCAUGCCUAACACAUGCAAGUCGAACGAGACCUUCGGGUCUAGUGGCGCACGGGUGCGUAACGCGUGGGAACCUGCCCUUAGGUUCAGAAUAACUCCCCGAAAGGGGUGCUAAUACCGGAUAAUGUCUUCGGACCAAAGAUUUAUCGCCUUUGGAUGGGCCCGCGUUGGAUUAGCUAGUUGGUAGGGUAAAAGCCUACCAAGGCGACGAUCCAUAGCUGGUCUGAGAGGAUGAUCAGCCACACUGGGACUGAGACACGGCCCAGACUCCUACGGGAAGCAGCAGUGGGGAAUAUUGGACAAUGGGCGAAAGCCUGAGCCAGCAAUGCCGCGUGAGUGAUGAAGGCCUUAGGGUUGUAAAGCUCUUUUACCCGGGAUGAUAAUGACAGUACCGGGAGAAUAAGCUCCGGCUAACUCCGUG
This 433-nucleotide ribosomal RNA is filed under the name uncultured bacterium. Its description in RNAcentral is "partial 16S ribosomal RNA". It matches the Rfam family "Bacterial small subunit ribosomal RNA", at positions 29 to 507 of the family's 1533-position model. The record is from RNAcentral.